ACCUGCGUGACUGACAUAUAGAUCAUAAAAUAUUUCCAUACACCAAAUAUAGUUGAACUAUUGCAUAUAGUAUUAGAAAAAAAGACCAAAACUCAAAAACUUAACUUUGACCACUGAACCAUGAAAAUGAGGUCAAGGUCAGAUGACACCUGUCAGCUAGACAUGUACACCUUACAAUCAUUCCAUACACCAAAUAUAGUAGACCUAUUGCAUACAGUAUAAGAAAAACAGACCAAAACACAAAAACUUAACUAUAACCACUGAACCAUGAAAAUGAGGUCAAGGUCAGAUGACACCUGCCAGUUGGACAUGUACACCUUACAGUCCUUCCAUACACCGAAUAUACUAGACCUAUUGCUUAUAGUAUCUGAGAUAUGGACUUGACCACGAAAAC
Long non-coding RNA from Mytilus californianus (California mussel), 394 nucleotides. RefSeq lists it as uncharacterized. Lineage: Eukaryota; Metazoa; Mollusca; Bivalvia; Mytilida; Mytilidae. The transcript has 2 exons. The record is from RefSeq and is a predicted model, not a curated record.